GACGAACGCUGGCGGCGUGCCUAAUACAUGCAAGUUGAGCGAUGAAGAUUGGUGCUUGCACCAAUUUGAAGAGCAGCGAACGGGUGAGUAACGCGUGGGGAAUCUGCCUUUGAGCGGGGGACAACAUUUGGAAACGAAUGCUAAUACCGCAUAAUAACUUUAAACAUAAGUUUUAAGUUUGAAAGAUGCAAUUGCAUCACUCAAAGAUGAUCCCGCGUUGUAUUAGCUAGUUGGUGAGGUAAAGGCUCACCAAGGCGAUGAUACAUAGCCGACCUGAGAGGGUGAUCGGCCACAUUGGGACUGAGAUACGGCCCAGACUCCUACGGGAGGCAGCAGUGGGGAAUAUUGCACAAUGGGCGGAAGCCUGAUGCAGCAACGCCGCGUGCGGGAUGACGGCCUUCGGGUUGUAAACCGCUUUCGCCUGUGACGAAGCGUGAGUGACGGUAAUGGGUAAAGAAGCACCGGCUAACUACGUG
This 476-nucleotide ribosomal RNA is filed under the name uncultured bacterium. Its description in RNAcentral is "partial 16S ribosomal RNA". It matches the Rfam family "Bacterial small subunit ribosomal RNA", at positions 28 to 507 of the family's 1533-position model. The record is from RNAcentral.